ACUCUACAAAUGUGCAUAUUCUUAGCAAAUAUGAGUGGACAACUACAAAGAGUGAAUUUAAUAGUUUUCCUUGUACCUUAUCCUGUUGAGUCACAGAGUCCCAAUCAUCAACAAGUUGAUUCAGGGCUUCUACCAAUGGUUCCGCCGCAACCACGCAACCACCGCCGCAGCUCCGUCUACCAAUGGUUCCGCCGCAGCUCCGUCAGUGCGAGGAAGAGACGAUGAGUUUAGGGUUCAGGAAGAAAACGAGAAAGAAAUAAGGGUGUAGUCUGCGAGGAAGAAAGCGAGAAAGGAAUGAAAGGGAUUUUAGGGUUCAAGUGUGAUUUUGAGAAGGAGAUGAGUGUCGGGAUCAAUGAGAUUUUGAGAAGGAGAUGAGUGUCGGGAUCAAUGAAACAGAAACGUAAAAAAUUAGGACAUUCUCGAAGCAUUAAAACUCCUUUGAAAUAGAGGGGGUUAUAAACCUCCUUUAAAAAUCAUUAAAACUCCCAUUACCAUUAACACCUUCAUGAUUUAAAUUAAACAUUAUGAAAUAUAUUAAUUUGAGGGGGUUUUUCAUAACCUCCUCUAAAUAACCCCCUCUAAAUAAGUUUUUUUUUGUAGUG
Molecule: long non-coding RNA, 602 nt
Filed under: Vigna radiata
Lineage: Eukaryota; Viridiplantae; Streptophyta; Magnoliopsida; Fabales; Fabaceae
Description: long non-coding RNA (VRAD_LNC011928)
Source: RNAcentral